RNAcentral lists this long non-coding RNA (458 nucleotides) under Brachypodium distachyon (stiff brome). Its description in RNAcentral is "long non-coding RNA (BDIS_LNC004281)". Lineage: Eukaryota; Viridiplantae; Streptophyta; Magnoliopsida; Poales; Poaceae. The record is from RNAcentral.
CAUGAAAUUACUUAUGAUUAUGCAUCGGAAUAUACCAUGAUUGGUUAGGAGCUCCAGGCUUGGAAGUUUGCGGGAUGCAAAGGAGAUAGCUAUUUCCCAUGAUUGAGAGGCAUUGGUUUCACGCAAACAGACCACCCGAAGUGUCUUUUCCUUUCAUGUUUAGACUUGUUCUCUUUGCCCUUCCUUUGUUUUUUUUUGUAAUUAGUUUUGUACCUGUUUCUGCUUCUUAAGUAAUGAAAGUAGCGCUGCUACAUUUCGUCAAAAACUUAUGCAUCGGAAUAUACCGAUGUGUUGAGUGAACAAUGCUGUUCAAAGUUUAGAAUGCUUGAGAAAUCUCAAAUUUUCUUGUCCAUCGUUCAGUGAGUGAACAUUUUACCGGAACUCAUCCACUGAGGCAAAAUGAAUCGGAAUAUACAGAUGUGUUGGGUGAACAGUCUGUUCGGAGUUUAGAAUGUUUG